ACGACGAAACAGGGGUGCUUCGUGCGCCGCGACCCGGCCGAUCGGCUUGGGUAUACGCGCAACGAGGCUGAGAGAGUCCCUUCGCACCCGAUCCGGAUAAUACCGGCGCGGGAAGUUUCCGAUCCCGCCGG
RNAcentral lists this non-coding RNA (131 nucleotides) under Burkholderia sp. RNAcentral describes it as "TPP sequence". It matches the Rfam family "TPP riboswitch aptamer (THI element)". From Rfam's summary of the family: Vitamin B(1) in its active form thiamin pyrophosphate (TPP) is an essential coenzyme that is synthesised by coupling of pyrimidine and thiazole moieties in bacteria. The previously detected thiamin-regulatory element, thi box was extended, resulting in a new, highly conserved RNA secondary structure, the THI element, which is widely distributed in eubacteria and also occurs in some archaea. Analysis of operon structures identified a large number of new candidate thiamin-regulated genes, mostly transporters, in various prokaryotic organisms. Lineage: Bacteria; Pseudomonadati; Pseudomonadota; Betaproteobacteria; Burkholderiales; Burkholderiaceae. The record is from RNAcentral.